RNAcentral lists this unclassified non-coding RNA (281 nucleotides) under Ascomycota sp. RNAcentral describes it as "partial contains 5.8S ribosomal RNA, internal transcribed spacer 2, and large subunit ribosomal RNA". The stretch from base 1 to 71 matches the Rfam family "5.8S ribosomal RNA", at positions 84 to 154 of the family's 154-position model. The record is from RNAcentral. Lineage: Eukaryota; Fungi; Ascomycota.
GUGAAUCAUCGAAUCUUUGAACGCACAUUGCGCCCCCUGGUAUUCCGGGGGGCAUGCCUGUUCGAGCGUCAUUACAACCCUCAAGCUCUGCUUGGUGUUGGGCUCCGCCGGUCCCGGCGGGCCUUAAAAUCAGUGGCGGUGCCAUUCGGCUUCAAGCGUAGUAAUUCUUCUCGCUUCGGAGGCCCGGGUGCGUGCUUGCCAGCAACCCCCAAUUUUUUUCAGGUUGACCUCGGAUCAGGUAGGGAUACCCGCUGAACUUAAGCAUAUCAAUAAGCGGAGGA